This 528-nucleotide unclassified non-coding RNA is filed under the name Hevea brasiliensis (rubber tree). Lineage: Eukaryota; Viridiplantae; Streptophyta; Magnoliopsida; Malpighiales; Euphorbiaceae. The record is from RNAcentral.
UUUUUAUGGUUCUUCUGGUCUUGCGCCACACUCUUCCAAUCAUUAUUAGUGGAGCUGGAGAUUACUCAACGACAAUGUUCAUGUUACUGAUAUUGAGGACCAUCGGGAUUCUUUUGCCCAUUUAUGUCAUGGUCAAGGCAUUCACUGCUAUCCAGCAUCGCCGUCAACAGCAGCGUCCUCGUUUCUCAGUUGCUGCAUCAGAUGAAGAAAAUGAGUUGCCACAUCUUCAGCCUCAGUCGCGCAUUUUUCACGGUCAGUGAUUGCCACAACCACCUCACCUAAAGGCACAAAGUGUACAGAAGAGGGAAUCAAAUUUCAGUUAUUCUAGUUUCUAUUUGUAACCAAAGAAAGCUGCACCCUUAUCACCAUAGCAAGUGAGCAGAAUUGCUUUUAAUAUGGCAAAAAUCAAGAGGAAUUUAAUGGUGCAGCAACAACAUCAUAUUAUCAUGAAGUAAGAAAACUAUGUACAGUUAGCUAUUAGGCAGUAAAUGGGAACUGCUGUUUAUGAGAAAUCGAGGGAAGAAUUGA